GUUUUACGAAAAAGCUCUGGAAAUUCGAAAACAAUCGUUAGGUCCAAAUCAUGUUGAUGUCGCUAAGUCUUUUAAACAAUCUUGGUGUAAUGUAUUAUGAAACUCGGGAAUAUGACAAAGCUUUACAGUUACACAUUGGUAGCUACGUGUUUCAAAGAAAAUUGUGCCUUCCAAAUUAUGUUAAGCCUUUUUCUAAGUCAGCUCCCCUCUCCCUGAGAAUGUAAUUUUGGUACUGAACAAAACGUUUGCAGUUUGCAGUUUGUUGGGUAAAAUGAACCUAAAAAUGAAAUGGUCCUUGUCUAUAUAUAGUUUCACUGAUAUCUAGUCAAUAAACUUACUCUACAGCCCAGGAAUCAUCCUAAGUAAAACUUAGAACUGCCCA
This is a long non-coding RNA of Xenia sp. Carnegie-2017, 382 nucleotides long. RefSeq lists it as uncharacterized. The transcript is spliced from 2 exons. The record is from RefSeq and is a predicted model, not a curated record. Lineage: Eukaryota; Metazoa; Cnidaria; Anthozoa; Malacalcyonacea; Xeniidae.